CCUACGGGUGGCAGCAGUGGGGAAUAUUGCACAAUGGGCGAAAGCCUGAUGCAGCAACGCCGCGUGAAGGAAGAAGGGUUUCGGCUCGGAAAAUUCUAUCAACAGGGACGAAAGAAAUGACGGUACCUGAAUAAGAAGCCCCGGCUAACUACGUGCCAGCAGCCGCGGUAAUAAGUAGGGGGCAAGCGUUAUCCGGAAUUAAUGGGUGUAAAUGGGGAGUAGGCGGGAUGGUAGGCCAGAUGUGAAAGCCCUGGGCUUAACCCGGGGAUUGCAUUUGGAACUGUCUAGCUUGAGUGCAGGAGAGGAAAGCGGAAUUCCUAGUGUAGCGGUGAAAUGCGUAGAUAUUAGGAAGAACACCAGUGGCGAAGGCGGCUUUCUGGACUGAAACUGACGCUGAGGCACGAAAGCGUGGGGAGCGAACAGGAUUAGAUACCCGAGUAGUC
RNAcentral lists this ribosomal RNA (443 nucleotides) under uncultured bacterium. RNAcentral's name for it is "partial 16S ribosomal RNA". It matches the Rfam family "Bacterial small subunit ribosomal RNA", at positions 338 to 795 of the family's 1533-position model. The record is from RNAcentral.